GUUAUACAAUAUAUGAGGAUUAGUCCCAUGGGGGAAGCAAAACAGGUUAAGACAGUGUAACUACAGGCAUCUGUGGGCUGUGGUGUUGUCAUAUCAUACAGUAUUUGGCCUCUGCUGGAAAAUCAUACUGCCAUAAUUCUUACAAUAUAGACAGGUACUCUGGCAUUGAGUUGAAUUCCAACAGAAGGCCAAGGAAAAACUGGGCUUUGAAGCAGAGAAGGAAAUCCCAAGGAGGCCUGUUGCUGGAAGCAGAGAAGAAGGAAGGAACAGUUAAUAGAAUUGGAGCAUGUUCAUCUUUCACUGCUCUGUGAUUAUCUGCUGGAACUGUAAUUUCUUCUGCUAUACCUUUUGAGACAGGAUUAUAUGGAUACAACCAAGGAGAAUGUUACCUGUGAAAUGUGUUAUUUAGCGCCUCAACGCUUCUGCUGUUACAAAACCAUGGGACUGCAGCUUCUCUCUUUGUCAAGUUCUCCCUACUUCAAGGAACAUUUAAUUUCAGUUUUUAGUGGCUGGGCUUCAUUGCCGGAAAUGAC
Molecule: long non-coding RNA, 533 nt
Filed under: Calidris pugnax (ruff)
Lineage: Eukaryota; Metazoa; Chordata; Aves; Charadriiformes; Scolopacidae
Description: lncRNA (ENSCPUG00000006783.1)
Source: RNAcentral